UGGGCGAAAGCCUGAUCCAGCAAUGCCGCGUGCAGGAUGAAGGCCUUCGGGUUGUAAACUGCUUUUGUACGGAACGAAAAGCUUCGGGUUAAUACCCUGGAGCCAUGACGGUACCGUAAGAAUAAGCACCGGCUAACUACGUGCCAGCAGCCGCGGUAAUACGUAGGGUGCAAGCGUUAAUCGGAAUUACUGGGCGUAAAGCGUGCGCAGGCGGUUUUGUAAGACAGAGGUGAAAUCCCCGGGCUCAACCUGGAAACUGCCUUUGUGACUGCAAGGCUAGAGUACGGCAGAGGGGGAUGGAAUUCCGCGUGUAGCAGUGAAAUGCGUAGAUAUGCGGAGGAACACCGAUGGCGAAGGCAAUCCCCUGGGCCUGUACUGACGCUCAUGCACGAAAGCGUGGGGAGCAAACAGGAUUAGAUACCCUGGUAGUCCACGCCCUAAACGAUGUCAACUGGUUGUUGGGUCUUAACUGACUCAGUAACGAAGCUAACGCGUGAAGUUGACCGCCUGGGGA
RNAcentral lists this ribosomal RNA (514 nucleotides) under uncultured bacterium. RNAcentral's name for it is "bacterial SSU rRNA". It matches the Rfam family "Bacterial small subunit ribosomal RNA", at positions 372 to 879 of the family's 1533-position model. The record is from RNAcentral.